RNAcentral lists this ribosomal RNA (184 nucleotides) under Diabrotica barberi (northern corn rootworm). RNAcentral's name for it is "partial 18S ribosomal RNA". It matches the Rfam family "Eukaryotic small subunit ribosomal RNA", at positions 1641 to 1822 of the family's 1831-position model. Lineage: Eukaryota; Metazoa; Arthropoda; Insecta; Coleoptera; Chrysomelidae. The record is from RNAcentral.
UUGAUUACGUCCCUGCCCUUUGUACACACCGCGCGUCGCUACUACGGAUUGAAUGAUUUAGUGAGGUCUUCGGACUGAGCGCGGUGGCGUUUCGGCGUCGUCGAUGUUUCGGAAAGAUGACCAAACUUGAUCAUUUAGAGGAAGUAAAAGUCGUAACAAGGUUUCCGUAGGUGAACCUGCGGAA